Molecule: long non-coding RNA, 341 nt
Organism: Quercus robur (English oak)
Lineage: Eukaryota; Viridiplantae; Streptophyta; Magnoliopsida; Fagales; Fagaceae
Exons: 2
Source: RefSeq, a predicted model, not a curated record
GCAUACAAGAGCAACCGCCCUUUUACACCUGACACUAUUGUUCAGGGACUGCAGUACUUGAAAGCAUCCAUCAAGGCAAUGUCAGUAAAGGUGAUUGAGGCAGGUACCGGGUGUAGAAGCUGAUGAUGUGAUUGGAACAUUGGCAGCACGGAGUGUUGAUGCUGGGUACAAGAUGAAUGGAAAAAUGUCCUUGGAACAUAACCAAUAUUCUUCCAAUAGGGAUUGUUUUGUCUCCAUGGUUGUCACAUGUGAGUAUCCUAUGUGUUAGAUAGGAUACUUCAGACUGUUUUGGAAGCAAAAAAUACAGCUUUGUGAAUAAAGGGCUCCUCUUGCUUUAAGGA